Cajanus cajan (pigeon pea) is the source of this 1319-nucleotide non-coding RNA. The record is from RefSeq and is a predicted model, not a curated record. NCBI's taxonomy places the organism in Eukaryota, Viridiplantae, Streptophyta, Magnoliopsida, Fabales, Fabaceae.
AAAAAAGGUUGCCCAGAAUUCGGGAAUUUCGGUAAUCAUCAAAACAUCGUUGGUGUUACUAUGGUCAAAAUUUGAUUCUCUGGAGACCGAAUUAUAAACUUGCACAGUAAAUAGUUUUAGUUUGAUAAAUAAAGGGGAGGGGGGGUCUACUUUUGUAAUUUUUAAAAAAAAUUAUUUUCCAAUAAAAAAUUCUUUUCAGUUCCUUAAGGAAAAGUAAUAUGAUUUGAUAGCUUGGAUUACAUAGUCUAAACACUAUAACACAUUUAAACUCCGUUGUAAACAUGAGACAACCAAAGAUAUUCAAAAAAAAAAAUAGAGGGAAGAAAUUGCCACAAUUCAUUCCCUAUUCAAGCGAGAAACAAACAAAGAGAGUGAGCAAAAACACGGUAUUCACCUUCGUCUCUCUUGACUCUUCAAAACUGUGUUUUGACCCGAAACCCUAACCAAAGUUAACAUGCGUCGAUGGAGCAUCUUCUCGUUGAGGCCUUUCCAAUCCCAUACUUUUUGGUAGUUGUAAUCUCUCUGAUUUUCUCUUUUACUUUCUUUUUCACAAUUUCGGUGCUUCUUUAUUUUCUUUACUCUCUAGUUUGGACGCAUGCCUUUUCAUGAACCAUUUUUUUUUUUAAUUUCAUUUUUCUUGUUUGUUACUUGAAUCUGUUUCGAAUGUGCUAUUUUUCUUUGUGUUUAUGCGAAAUGCGAUUUCGAGUUUUUUGAUCGAUUGAAGUUUUGAAAACAAGAAGAUUGAGGCGUUGUGUUGUUGAAGCAAUAGAGAAUUGGGCUACUUUCGAUUUUUUUUUUCCUUACCAAAAAGACAUUUACAUUUUAUUGUGUGAAUUGGAAAGCAGGGAAGGAGGAGUAGCCUAGGGAUGAUGUUGUUGUUGAAGAUGAAACUAAUGGUGGGUUUCUAUUGAAUCUUCAUAUUUUGAUAUAGUUUAUGAUCCCGAUUCAGGUUUUGACUUUGAAGAUACUAGGUAAAAUGAACAUUGCUGCAUGGGCUAGCAAACAAGAGGAGGAUAAGGAUGCAUCCACUUCCUUGAAAACAAAAUCAGAACCACCUAAGAAUGUCAUUGAAGCACGUGCAGUAGCAUGAGAGGAAGCUGAGAAGGCCAAGUAUAUGGACAGUUGUUGGCUUGAAGUGAAACAGGCUUGAGAUCCCACAUGAUAUCUCACAAGAUUACACUAUUUUAGUUGUCCUAGGUACGUGCCAAAUUUCAUAAUGAUUUUCUUGCCAUCUAUAAAUUUAACUUGAACUUAGUAUCAUUAAGGGGAAUGGAGCAUAUACAUAAUUUUUUGUUAAAAUUAUUUAUAAAUCAUACUCA